AUUGAACGCUGGCGGCAGGCCUAACACAUGCAAGUCGAACGAGUGGCGGACGGGUGAGUAAUGUCUGGGAAACUGCCUGGUGGAGGGGGAUAACUACUGGAAACGGUAGCUAAUACAGCAUACCAUCAGAUGUGCCCAGCUGGGAUUAGCUAGUUGGUGGGGUAACGGCUCACCAAGGCGACGAUCCCUAGCUGGUCUGAGAGGAUGACCAGCCACACUGGAACGGGGACACGGUCCAGCCUCCUACGGGAGGCAGAGGUGGGGAUUAUUGCACAAGGGGCGCAAGCCUGAUGCAGCAAUGCCGCGUGUAUGAAGAAGGCCUUCGGGUUGUAAAGUACGUUCAGCGGGGAGGCGUUACCCGCAGAAGAAGCACCGGCUAACUCCGUGCCAGCAGCCGCGGUAAUUC
This 406-nucleotide ribosomal RNA is filed under the name uncultured bacterium. RNAcentral describes it as "partial 16S ribosomal RNA". It matches the Rfam family "Bacterial small subunit ribosomal RNA", at positions 30 to 526 of the family's 1533-position model. The record is from RNAcentral.